RNAcentral lists this ribosomal RNA (459 nucleotides) under uncultured bacterium. Its description in RNAcentral is "partial 16S ribosomal RNA". It matches the Rfam family "Bacterial small subunit ribosomal RNA", at positions 338 to 795 of the family's 1533-position model. The record is from RNAcentral.
CCUACGGGAGGCAGCAGUGAGGAAUAUUGGUCAAUGGUCGGAAGGCUGAACCAGCCAAGCCGCGUGCAGGAUGAAGGCCCAGAGGGUCGCAGACCUCUUUUGCGGGGGGACAAAAUGCCGGACUCGUCCUGUCCUGAGGGUACCCGGUGAAUAAGCACCGGCUAACUCCGUGCCAGCAGCCGCGGUAAUACGGAGGAUGCGGGCGUUAUCCGGAUUCAUUGGGUUUAAAGGGGGCGUAGGCGGCGCUUUAAGCCGGCGGGGAAAUCGCGGGGCUCAACCCCGCCGCGCGGUGGGAACUGGGUGCCUUGAGUGCGGCGGAGGCAUGCGGAAUGCGCGGUGUAGCGGUGAAAUGCAUAGAUAUCGCGCAGAACCCCGAUUGCGAAGGCAGCGUGCCGUGGCGCCACUGACGCUGAGGCACGAAAGCGCGGGGAUCGAACAGGAUUAGAUACCCUUGUAGUC